GCUGGAGAGAGAAGAUGGACUGCCAAAAUAUCUAGCGAGCCCUGGUCGCCUACGCUUGCUCACCUCCCCCUCUUCUCUUCCCAAGCCGCCUGCUCCUCCGACUAAAUCUAGGAGGGAAGGCUGGAGCUAGCGAGGAAGAUGGCUUGCCGCCGCCACGGCCUCGCUGCGCCCGCCGCUCCAUCGACCGAAUCUGCGACCUCUUCUCUCGCGUCGCGCGCUGCCUGGCUGCCUGCUACUCCUCCUGCCGCAGCCUAACUUGUGGGUGACGGGGAGGAGAAGACGAUGAGCAGCGGCGCAUGGGGGUUCGUGCAGGUCCUCGGCUCGCCCGUGCCUCACCAGUCCGCCGGGCAAGCAAGCCCGCAGGGGAGGCAGUGAGGCCAGAAGCAAGGGCACGGAGGUCGGAGGCAAGUGCUCGGGAGAGGAGAGGAAGGCGACGCUCCAGGCAGCGGCGCUGGGCCAGCAACAUCAGGCAGUGGUUCUGUGGUACAGGUGUGAUCUUCAUGGAGCUAGCCAUCAUUGGAUUUGGUAAUACAUAAUCACUUAUUCAGAGAGCCGGAGGUGAGAAGGGACGAGCAUCUAGAACACCACCACCUACUAAUCAGUGAGCUACUAUCUGUCUUUGAAUGAGUUACUUAACAAGAGAAGGCAGGUAGCAAUAGAACACAUGCAAUCUCAAUGUUUACUAAUUAUCUAUUUCUGAAUUUAUUCGUUCCCAGCUGCUCUGAAUCUGGGUGUUUUGCUUGCUGCUUUGUAGGAGUUUCCUACCUUUCUUCUGCAAAUCUGGAAUGCCUUUAUGGCAUGAUCAUGUGAAAAAAGUACCUUGAUGCAGUAAUGGAUUUGAUUAUCACUGGUUACUCUGUUUUCACGAAUUACUAUCCAACUAUAAGUCUGUUCUAGACCCUAAGGCCCAUGUAAAUGUGAUAUAAGAUUAAGCUAUUUAAUUUUAACUAAAAAGGAUAAUAUUCUUUCAGUCGCUUGAAUCUGUCCAGACCUGAAAAAUACUUAUAGUUUGAAAGCUUGAUAUAUGAGUAUGUAAUUUUACAGGUAUGUAGAUAGUCGCAAUGUUAUUGUUCAAAUGUACUCGAGCCAGGUUUUCGGUGUUUCAUUGCAACCAAAAGAAUUGGUAAUAUUGUUUUGAUGAAAACAUGGUCGCACUUGUCGGUGUUGUAUAAUAGGAUUUUUAAUUAGUGGCAUAGGAAAUUUUUUGUAUCCUAAAGAUUCUUACAGAUUGGAAUAGGAAUUGGUAGCUAACAUCUUGGGAUUUUGUGAUCAUCUACAGUUGAUUGAAAGUCCAUUUUCCCUAAGAUCCACUAUGACAAUGAAAAAGAUUUCUGAAAACUGUGUCAUCAUAAAUGUUCCGUCAUUGUCCAUAGCAAUCCCAUGCCGUAUUAAUUUCAGAAGAAUAAAUUCUUAUUCAGAUAUUCAUUGUGUUUUUAUGUAUUGCUAUAUCUAAAAAAGCAAGUUUCAGCUAAAACCAGAGCCGUGGUUAAGGUACUCUUCGCACCUAGGAUAUGUGUUCAGAUUGCUAACUUUAAACUAUAGUUUUAGAAAAUGUGGUGCCCUCGCUUAUUUUUCUAAUGCAUGAACUUAGGGUAAAUGUUUUAUGUGUAAUGCGUGCUUGAUUUCUUUUUGAUUCUGGUGGAUUUUGAUUUUCUCCACCAUGCUUCUCUCCAACGGGAUGAGUCUGUUUUCACAGCAGCAGGUGAUGCAUGUGCUUAUUGUUGGCUGUUGGGAUGUGGUAUGCAUUUUCUCAUUGUUGGUUGUUUAUUGUUUGCUAUGAUUAAGAUACAUUGGCAUGUACAUUUUAUAUCAUUUUUGUUUUCAACACCACCUAUCACUCUAUAAUUUGCCGUUAAUAGAGUAGUUUCUCCUUUAUUGCAUUGCAUAAUGCUAGCAAGCUACAUUGCACCAUAAACAAAAUAAUCCUCUUCCAAGGUUAAACCUGUUUUUUCCUUCUAGCAAAGAUCAUCUCUGGAAAAGAUCAAUUCCGUUAGCCUAUAAUAUUGCAGUUCUUUCAUAUCCUUCAAAGAUUUAUAAAUAUUUUCUCCUUCCACUCCAUUCAUUCUCAUGGAUUCUGAAAAAAAAAUUGUUUUUUGUUGAUUAAUAAUAUUGCUUUCCCUUUCAGUUUUGUGGUGGUCGAUGCAUGUAGAAUAUACAGACUUUCCUAGAAUGGCGCCUUUUAGUUUUUCUGCUUGAUGUUAGUUCAUUGAUGAGAACACCUAUGUACAUGAUUGCUGCAUGCAUGAUAUCCUACUAUAUACUGAGAAAUAUUUUUGUUUUUCGGACAUUGUUUUCUAAAUCCUAUCAACAUAUUACCUGAUAUGGUCUUUGAAGUUUCUAUUUUUUGCACUGGUCAACUUGAGUAUGGUAUGGUUUAGUCUUAUCUGUUGCAGCUAUUCCAGAGAAAUGUAGAGCUCUGCAACCUUCCGAAGACUUGAUUUACAGUACUCCCGCCGUCCCUUUUUAUAAGAAGUUUAGACAGCUGAUUUUGAACUAUUUUUGGAGCUGUCUGAACUUUCUAAAACGUCUUAUAAAAGUGAACAGAUGGGUAUUGAACCCAUAGAUCCGCUUAUAAACGGACCUUUUAUCAGCAUUGAGAAGGUGGCACAAAAACUCAAACACAGGGUGAUCAGCUAAGAAAAUAAGUUAAGAAGCAUCAAGGAGGACUUUCGGAAAACACAGGGUGACCCAGGUUGUGAGAGCUGAUGACGACUCUAUUAAAAGUCCUUGCUGCCUGCCCCAUUUAUGUCUCUGUAAACAGAAUAACUAAGGUCAUAUGGUUUCCAAUGUGACUAAGAUCUAAAUUCUUGCCGAGUGUAGUUUCUGAACCACAAAGUUACUAUAAAAUGGAAAUAUUUUCAUUGUGGCAUGAUUUUGAA
Molecule: long non-coding RNA, 2879 nt
Organism: Triticum dicoccoides
Lineage: Eukaryota; Viridiplantae; Streptophyta; Magnoliopsida; Poales; Poaceae
Exons: 2
Source: RefSeq, a predicted model, not a curated record